Molecule: ribosomal RNA, 482 nt
Filed under: uncultured bacterium
Lineage: Bacteria
Description: partial 16S ribosomal RNA
Rfam family: Bacterial small subunit ribosomal RNA
Source: RNAcentral
GACGAACGCUGGAGGCGUGCUUAACACAUGCAAGUCGAACGAUGAAAUGGAGCUUGCUCCAUGGAUUAGUGGCGAACGGGUGAGUAACACGUGAAUAACCUGCCCUUAAUUUUGGAAUAACCCAGGGAAACCUGGGCUAAUACCGGAUAAGUAAACCUGUGGCAUCACAUGGUUUUGGAAAGUUUUUCGAUUAAGGAUGGAUUCGCGGCCUAUCAGCUUGUUGGUGAGGUAAUGGCUCACCAAGGCGACGACGGGUAACCGGCCUGAGAGGGUGAACGGCCACACUGGGACUGAGACACGGCCCAGACUCCUACGGGAGGCAGCAGUGGGGAAUAUUGCGCAAUGGACGAAAGUCUGACGCAGCGACGCCUCGUGAGGGACGAAGGUCUUCGGAUUGUAAACCUCUUUCAGCAGGGACGAAGCGAAAGUGACGGUACCUGCAGAAGAAGCACCGGCUAACUAUGUGCCAGCCGCCGCGGUAA